UGCAUUCAGGUUUAUCUUGCAUUGCUCUCCUCAGAGACAACCCAGUGGAGAGGCGGAGGGAGCACCAGCAACAAGCCUGCUGUUGGCAACCAAAGCAACACUCAUCUCAGGAAUUCUGCGAAGCCAUUUCCCUGGCAGAAGCCAUACCUAGCUCAUCGGUCCUCCUUCCAUGCCAGUCCUUGGGAUCCCUGCUUGCCUUCUGAAUUAUAUCAGGUGUGUAGGAAUCUUUCAUCAAGCUCUGGCUCUGCAGUGGGCCACCUGCAAGCAACAGCUAAUAAGGAAGCGUAUGUGGAAAUCGCCCUACUGCCCUCCAGGAACUGAGCAGGGGAGCAACACCAGCAGUUUCCAGAGCUCAAGAAAAGGCUUAUGUUGACAUCAGAUGCGUGGCUAAGAGCUGAAUAACAACUUCAUCAUGACCCAGGGGGGACCUUGUGCUUGCCAACUUAUCUGCUUUUCAUCCUUAAGUAUGAGAUACGCAUAGAAGCUGCUGCGAGUUAUCAUCUUUGUCUGCAUCCCAGUGCCCCUUUAAUCAAGUGCCCACUUGCCUCCUGUUGAAUUCUCUCAUUCAUGUAGCUUCCUAUUCAGCAGCACAGCUCCACAACAAGCACCAUCUUACCACUCCAGGCCUCCCUGAACUCCUUUUCAAUGGCAAUACUUAACAAAUAGAUCCCAGCUGUGCUUUCUCUUUUUAUCCCCUCUUGACUUCUAGCCAUUUGAGGGGGCUGUAUCUUAAUCUCUCAACCUGUACUCUUCACCUUCCCUUUUGUUGUAUCCUUUCUUUGCUAAUAAUGACUCUGAGCUCCUUGGGGAAAGAUAUCCUUCUUUUCUGUGUGACUGCACAAACCCAGGACAAUGCAGGCUUUAAUACCCAGCUAGGUCUUGCCAUGGAAUGUACUGUACAAGGAGGAGGAUCCUGUCUCAUGCUGCAAUCAGAGACAAUUAUUUCAGAGUUUCUUGGGUAUGAUGGUAACAAUAAUGGGAUGCAUGCGGAGUUCCCAGGAUUUGUUUAGAUGGUGGGAUCCCUGGAGACCUUGGAAAUAGAUUUGUGGGAAGACAUUUCUCUAAAACUUGAAGGCAAACACAGUCAGUAUUGGAAGUGGAGAUGACCUGGGACUGGAGAGAACAGCUGACACCAGAUUGCAAAUAGUGUCUGUUUGGGCAGCUCUGACCAUGGAGGACAGGGGCCAUGAUGCACCUUCACUUUUCACACCUUGAGGGAAAAAAAAAGUGAGAGAGAAAAUAAAGGAAUGGAAUAUACAUAAAAAGGGAGGUUCUAGCUUUUGCUUCCUCAGGCACCACAGUCUGGAAAAGCAGUGACUGUGGAUAGAAGAGGGAAAAGUGUGGGUUACCUGCAGUCAGAUCUCUACCCAAAGCAGUAUGGCUGCCCUGAGCCCAGGCAAUGUUGGUGGAACCAGCUUUGAGGUCAGGCAUAGGUAAGGCUCCUCACCUUGGAAGAUAUUUGCUCUCAGGUUAAAACCAAGCUGGUUGUAAUCACUGAGUGAUGUAGGGUUCAAGGAGGUUUCUGACAU
This is a long non-coding RNA of Pogoniulus pusillus (Red-fronted tinkerbird), 1529 nucleotides long. RefSeq lists it as uncharacterized. Lineage: Eukaryota; Metazoa; Chordata; Aves; Piciformes; Lybiidae. The transcript has 2 exons. The record is from RefSeq and is a predicted model, not a curated record.